Molecule: ribosomal RNA, 377 nt
Filed under: uncultured bacterium
Lineage: Bacteria
Description: bacterial SSU rRNA
Rfam family: Bacterial small subunit ribosomal RNA
Source: RNAcentral
UAUUGCACAAUGGGGGAAACCCUGAUGCAGCAACGCCGCGUGGAGGAUGACACAUUUCGGUGCGUAAACUCCUUUUAUAUAAGAAGAUAAUGACGGUAUUAUAUGAAUAAGCACCGGCUAACUCCGUGCCAGCAGCCGCGGUAAUACGGAGGGUGCAAGCGUUACUCGGAAUCACUGGGCGUAAAGAGCGUGUAGGCGGAUAGAUAAGUCAGAAGUGAAAUCCAAUAGCUUAACUAUUGAACUGCUUUUGAAACUGUCUAUCUAGAGUAUGGGAGAGGUAGAUGGAAUUUCUGGUGUAGGGGUAAAAUCCGUAGAGAUCAGAAGGAAUACCGAUUGCGAAGGCGAUCUACUGAACAUAACUGACGCGAGACGCGAAA